This 255-nucleotide ribosomal RNA is filed under the name uncultured bacterium. RNAcentral's name for it is "partial 16S ribosomal RNA". It matches the Rfam family "Bacterial small subunit ribosomal RNA", at positions 82 to 334 of the family's 1533-position model. The record is from RNAcentral.
CUGGGUUGGAUGAGUGGCGAACGGGUGAGUAACACGUGAGUAACCUGCCCUCUUCUUUGGGAUAACGGUCGGAAACGGCUGCUAGUACCGGGUAUUCACUGUCCUUCGCAUGGGGGGUGGGUGGAAAGGUUUUUUCUGGUGGGGGAUGGGCUCGCGGCCUAUCAGCUUGUUGGUGGGGUGAUGGCUUACCAAGGCUUUGACGGGUAACCGGCCUGAGAGGGUGACCGGUCACAUUGGGACUGAGAUACGGCCCAG